AUGGAAAACAAGGACCCGCAGGGACAGGGACCCCGGCGUCUGGCCCCACGGAAAACAAGGACCCGCAGGGACAGGGACCCCGGCGUCCGGCCCCACGGCCAGGAGGACCCGCAGGGACAGGGACCCCGGUGUCUGGCCCCAUGGAAACAAGGACCCGCAGGGACAGGGACCCCGGCGUCUGGCCCCACAGAAAACAAGGACCCGCAGGGACGAGGACCCCGGCGUCCGGCCCCACGGCCAGGAGGACCCGCAGGGACAGGGACCCCGGCGUCUGGCCCCACGGACCCCCGGCGUCCGGCCCCUCGGCCAGGAGGACCCGCAGGGACAGGGACCCCGGCGUCUGGCCCCACGGAAAACAAGGACCCGCAGGGACAGGGACCCCGGCGUCUGGCCCCCACGGAAAACAAGGACCCGCAGGGACGAGGACCCCGGCGUCCGGCCCCACGGCCAGGAGGACCCGCAGGGACAGGGACCCCGGCGUCUGGCCCCACGGACCCCGGCGUCCGGCCCCUCGGCCAGGAGGACCCGCAGGGACAGGGACCCCGGCGUCUGGCCCCACGGAAAACAAGGACCCGCAGGGACGAGGACCCCGGCGUCCGGCCCCACGGCCAGGAGGACCCGCAGGGACAGGGACCCCGGCGUCUGGCCCCACGGACCCCGGCGUCCGGCCCCACGGCCAGGAGGACCCGCAGGGACGAGGACCCCGGUGUCUGGCCCCACGGACCCCGGCGUCCGGCCCCACGGCCAGGAGGACCCGUCCCCACCUGCUGCAGUAGCUGCAUGCGCAGCGCCCGGUCAGGGGAGGAGAAGAGGCGGACGAUGACCGGGACGAUGCGCUCCUGGUACUCGGGGGGGUCCAGCACCUUCGCCACCUGCGGGGAUGGGGACGGGUGAUGCCGGGGGGUGACGCCGGGGUGGGGGGGGACACGGGGGCGGGGGAGGACCCCCACCUUGAGGAGGGGGGGCAGGGCGCUGGCGUCGGCGCUGCCGAACUCGAGGGCCGCCAGCAGCCGGGGCAGCAGCUUGUGGCGGCGGAAGGGGCCGGGGAGGGCGUCCAGGCGGCCGCUCAGCUCCUGCAGGAAGGUCCGGCGCUCCGAGGCAUCCCGGACCUGGGGGGGGCCGGGGAGGGCGUCAGGGGGUGGGGGGGACAGGGACAGGGAGGGGGAGAGGGAUGGGGGCACAGG
RNAcentral lists this long non-coding RNA (1184 nucleotides) under Aquila chrysaetos chrysaetos. RNAcentral describes it as "lncRNA (ENSACCG00020016884.1)". Lineage: Eukaryota; Metazoa; Chordata; Aves; Accipitriformes; Accipitridae. The record is from RNAcentral.